UACGAAGGGGGCUAGCGUUGCUCGGAAUCACUGGGCGUAAAGGGUGCGUAGGCGGGUCUUUAAGUCAGGGGUGAAAUCCUGGAGCUCAACUCCAGAACUGCCUUUGAUACUGAGGAUCUUGAGUUCGGGAGAGGUGAGUGGAACUGCGAGUGUAGAGGUGAAAUUCGUAGAUAUUCGCAAGAACACCAGUGGCGAAGGCGGCUCACUGGUCCGCAACUGACGCUGAGGCGCGAAAGCGUGGGGAGCAAACAGG
Molecule: ribosomal RNA, 253 nt
Filed under: uncultured bacterium
Lineage: Bacteria
Description: partial 16S ribosomal RNA
Rfam family: Bacterial small subunit ribosomal RNA
Source: RNAcentral